GUGCUAGCUUAGGCAGCACAUAUAUACUAAAAUUGGAACAAUACAGAGAUCAGCAUGGCCCAUGCACAAGAAUGACACAAAUUCGUGAAGCUUCCAUAUUAAAA
Small nuclear RNA from Phyllostomus discolor (pale spear-nosed bat), 104 nucleotides. Lineage: Eukaryota; Metazoa; Chordata; Mammalia; Chiroptera; Phyllostomidae. The record is from RefSeq and is a predicted model, not a curated record.